RNAcentral lists this ribosomal RNA (163 nucleotides) under Cuminum cyminum. Its description in RNAcentral is "5.8S ribosomal RNA". It matches the Rfam family "5.8S ribosomal RNA". Rfam says of the family: 5.8S ribosomal RNA (5.8S rRNA) is a component of the large subunit of the eukaryotic ribosome. It is transcribed by RNA polymerase I as part of the 45S precursor that also contains 18S and 28S rRNA. Lineage: Eukaryota; Viridiplantae; Streptophyta; Magnoliopsida; Apiales; Apiaceae. The record is from RNAcentral.
AAAUGACUCUCGACAACGGAUAUCCCGGCUCUCGCAUCGAUGAAGAACGUAGCGAAAUGCGAUACUUGGUGUGAAUUGCAGAAUCCCGUGAACCAUCGAGUCUUUGAACGCAAGUUGCGCCCGAAGCCAUUAGGCCGAGGGCACGUCUGCCUGGGUGUCACGC